This is a long non-coding RNA of Panicum virgatum (switchgrass), 979 nucleotides long. RefSeq lists it as uncharacterized. NCBI's taxonomy places the organism in Eukaryota, Viridiplantae, Streptophyta, Magnoliopsida, Poales, Poaceae. The transcript has 2 exons. The record is from RefSeq and is a predicted model, not a curated record.
GUGACGCCUCGCCCCAUCGCAUCCGCAGCCAUGGCGCCAUGCCCGACAGUACUGCCACGCUCCCUGCGUCCCUGCUCGAGUUCAUCGAAGCCGCAGUCCGCAGGUGGAUCCCCAGCAUGACUGCACACCAGGAUCAGGAACACGACCAAGAAGCCUCGCCAUAUCGGCACUGUCGCCGUCCUUGCUGCUGCCGCUGCCAUCAGCGGGGGCGAGCCAUUCCACGUGUUCGUGGGGCAAAUCACGAACAUGAAACAAUAGUAAUGCUGCAAAUUUGUGUGCGCUCUGCCUCCUCUGCGCUUCUUCUUUACAAUACCAUGGUCACUCAUUUGGAGUUUUUUUUUCCACCUCAACAGUUAUACCUUUGAGUCUGAACUUCCCAGGAUUGCUUACCUGUUGCCUUCAUAUAUUGUCAAAUUGACCGUUCCCCACCUUGACAUUGAAGGCCUGAUGCAAUAUUUCAUCUUUGGUUUCACCGAACAGUCACCUGCGCUUGGAUCUAUUCUCUUGGAACUUGGAGCAAGACACCCGCCUCUUCGAAUUCUGUGGCCACAUCAAGGACAAGUGGACAACAGACAUAAGUUCAGAUAUCCAUUUCCAUCUGCUUUUUAGCUGCCAAAUUUAUGUGUUUAGAAUGUGCACCUCUUUGUCAAAAUUAAUAUGUUCAUAGCAUAUUUUCAUUUGUUUAAAAUGUAUGUGAUUGUGUACAAGACAAAUGGAAGCACAUGGAAGGUCAUCAGCAUGGUUGAAUCGUUUUUGAGGUGCUUUUGUGCUGAUGAACUUUGGUCAUGAGUUGGAGCUGUUUGCCAUCCAAAGUAGGCUCUGAAAUAGGGAUGUUAGGAUCAACAGUAUACUACAUGUAUAAUCUUUAACUAUCCUUGCUUCGGACAUUCAGGUAGAUAAGGUUAUUGUAAUCAAUUCGUAUUCUUUGUUAAGACAGACAAAAGUAUAUGUGUUACACUUGCAUAAUGUUGAUCCUCCA